This 484-nucleotide ribosomal RNA is filed under the name uncultured bacterium. Its description in RNAcentral is "partial 16S ribosomal RNA". It matches the Rfam family "Bacterial small subunit ribosomal RNA", at positions 30 to 507 of the family's 1533-position model. The record is from RNAcentral.
AUUGAACGCUGGCGGCAGGCCUAACACAUGCAAGUCGAGCGGAUGAAGGGAGCUUUCUCCUGGCUUCCGCGGCGGACGGGUGAGUAAUGCCUAGGAAUCUGCCUGGUAGUGGGGGCUAACGUCCGGAAACGGGCGCUAAUACCGCAUACGUCCUGAGGGUGAAAGUGGGGGAUCUUCGGACCUCACGCUAUCUGAUGUGACUAGGUCGGAUUAGCUAGUUGGUGGGGUAAAGGCCUACCAAGGCGACGAUCCGUAACUGGUCUGAGAGGAUGAUCAGUCACACUGGAACUGAGACACGGUCCAGACUCCUACGGGAGGCAGCAGUGGGGAAUAUUGGACAAUGGGCGAAAGCCUGAUCCAGCCAUGCCGCGUGUGUGAAGAAGGUCUUCGGAUUGUAAAGCACUUUAAGUUGGGAGGAAGGGCAGUAAGUUAAUACCUGGCUGUUUUGACGGUACCAACAGAAUAAGCACCGGCUAACUUCGUG